CCUACGGGAGGCUGCAGUGAGGAAUAUUGGUCAAUGGGCGGAAGCCUGAACCAGCCAAGUAGCGUGCAGGAUGACGGCCCUACGGGUUGUAAACUGCUUUUAUACGGGAAUAACGCCCCGUACGUGUAGGGCUUUGCAUGUACCGUAUGAAUAAGGACCGGCUAAUUCCGUGCCAGCAGCCGCGGUAAUCCGGAGGGUCCGGGCGUUAUCCGGAUUUAUUGGGUUUAAAGGGAGCGUAGGCGGUCUGUCAAGCGUGCUGUGAAAUGUCCGGGCUCAACCCGGGCCGUGCAGCGCGAACGGGCGGGCUUGAGUCAGCGGAAAGCAGGCGGAAUUCGUGGUGUAGCGGUGAAAUGCUUAGAUAUGACGAAGAACCCCGAUUGCGAAGGCAGCUUGCUGCAGCGGAACUGACGCUGAUGCUCGAAAGCGCGGGUAUCGAACAGGAUUAGAUACCCUUGUAGUC
Molecule: ribosomal RNA, 460 nt
Filed under: uncultured bacterium
Lineage: Bacteria
Description: partial 16S ribosomal RNA
Rfam family: Bacterial small subunit ribosomal RNA
Source: RNAcentral